UACGGAGGGGGCUAGCGUUAUUCGGAAUUAUUGGGCGUAAAGGGCGUGUAGGCGGCUUCGUAAGUCUUGUGUGAAAGCCCUCGGCUCAACCGAGGAAUUGCACGAGAAACUGCGUGGCUCGAGUCCGGGAGAGGAUAGUGGAAUUCCCAGUGUAGAGGUGAAAUUCGUAGAUAUUGGGAAGAACACCGAUGGCGAAGGCAGCCAUCUGGACCGACACUGACGCUGAGGCGCGAAAGCGUGGGGAGCAAACAGG
This 253-nucleotide ribosomal RNA is filed under the name uncultured bacterium. RNAcentral's name for it is "partial 16S ribosomal RNA". It matches the Rfam family "Bacterial small subunit ribosomal RNA", at positions 524 to 776 of the family's 1533-position model. The record is from RNAcentral.